UCUAGAAUCUAUGAUACGGCACAACGCAUUUCGCUAAAUCAUCGUUAGUGUAUAUUUCCCCCCGCCCAAGCCGGCGGCCUCUAGAUGACAGUUGUUGUUGUUCUUCCCCAUGACUUCAUUGUUGUUGCUGUUCUUGUUGCUGUUGUUAUGACAAGGCACUUUGCGUUGUCAUUGUCACUGUCUCACUGUCACUGCCAAGAACUCCUGGCUAAUGUGUCCAUGAUGUCUGCUGUUGCUGUUGCUGUUGCUGCUGCUCUUGUUAUUACAGGGGGUUUCCCCAAUAAUGGAUGCUUUUUAUGAUUUUUAUGACAUCGCAGCCAGGCAAUAAAUAAAACACAGUAGCUGUAUUGGCAACACA
Molecule: long non-coding RNA, 358 nt
Organism: Drosophila montana
Lineage: Eukaryota; Metazoa; Arthropoda; Insecta; Diptera; Drosophilidae
Exons: 2
Source: RefSeq, a predicted model, not a curated record